GACGAACGCUGGCGGCGUGCUUAACACAUGCAAGUCGAACGGAAAGGCCCCUUUGGGGGUACUCGAGUGGCGAACGGGGGAGUAACACGUGAGUAACCUGCCCUUGACUUCGGGAUAACUUCAGGAAACUGGGGCUAAUACCGGAUAGGAAUCCUUGCUGCAUGGUGGGGGUUGGAAAGCUUCGGCGGUUUUGGAUGGACUCGCGGCUUAUCAGCUUGUUGGUGGGGUAGUGGAUUACCAAGGCUUUGACGGGUAGCCGGCCUGGGAGGGCGACCGGCCACAUUGGGACUGAGAUACGGCCCAGACUCCUACGGGAGGCAGCAGUGGGGAAUAUUGCACAAUGGGCGGAAGCCUGAUGCAGCAACGCCGCGUGCGGGAUGACGGCCUUCGGGUUGUAAACCGCUUUCAGCAGGGGCGAAGCUUGUGGUGACGGUACCUGCAGAAGAAGCACCGGCUAACUACGUG
Molecule: ribosomal RNA, 465 nt
Filed under: uncultured bacterium
Lineage: Bacteria
Description: partial 16S ribosomal RNA
Rfam family: Bacterial small subunit ribosomal RNA
Source: RNAcentral